AGCGCAGGCGGAGAAGCAAGUCAGUGGUGAAAACGAUGGGCUUAACUCAUCGACUACCAUUGAAACUGUUUCCCUUGAGUGAAGUAGAGGCAGGCGGAAUUCCAAGUGUAGCGGUGAAAUGCGUAGAUAUUCGGAGGAACACCAGUGGCGAAGGCGGCCUGCUGGGCUUUAACUGACGCUGAGGCUCGAAAGUGUGGGAGCAAACA
RNAcentral lists this ribosomal RNA (206 nucleotides) under uncultured bacterium. RNAcentral's name for it is "partial 16S ribosomal RNA". It matches the Rfam family "Bacterial small subunit ribosomal RNA", at positions 568 to 774 of the family's 1533-position model. The record is from RNAcentral.